This 253-nucleotide ribosomal RNA is filed under the name uncultured bacterium. RNAcentral describes it as "partial 16S ribosomal RNA". It matches the Rfam family "Bacterial small subunit ribosomal RNA", at positions 524 to 776 of the family's 1533-position model. The record is from RNAcentral.
UACGAAGGGGGCUAGCGUUGCUCGGAAUCACUGGGCGUAAAGGGUGCGUAGGCGGGUUUCUAAGUCAGAGGUGAAAGCCUGGAGCUCAACUCCAGAACUGCCUUUGAUACUGGAAGUCUUGAGUAUGGCAGAGGUGAGUGGAACUGCGAGUGUAGAGGUGAAAUUCGUAGAUAUUCGCAGGAACACCAGUGGCGAAGGCGGCUCACUGGGCCAUUACUGACGCUGAGGCACGAAAGCGUGGGGAGCAAACAGG